GCCAGAUGAUGAUAACAAGGUGUAAUGUAGAAAACUGCGGGUUCUGACUCAAAUCUUUGCGUCAAACCAGAGUAACCAUAUUGUCUGUAAUCUUGGGGCGAUGCUGUGAGUACCAGCACGUCCUGUAAGGCCGGACAUAGAUCUAUUGCCUGCACACUUCUCUGUGCCGAGAUAUGGUACACGAGACAUGAUGGGCACACAGGGAGGGGUUGGGGGGUGGGGACGGGAAAACCUGCAGUUUUCCAUGACCGACAUUUUUAGUAAUCUGAUGACA
Molecule: small nucleolar RNA, 274 nt
Organism: Haliotis rufescens (red abalone)
Lineage: Eukaryota; Metazoa; Mollusca; Gastropoda; Lepetellida; Haliotidae
Source: RefSeq, a predicted model, not a curated record